RNAcentral lists this ribosomal RNA (242 nucleotides) under uncultured bacterium. RNAcentral describes it as "partial 16S ribosomal RNA". It matches the Rfam family "Bacterial small subunit ribosomal RNA", at positions 93 to 334 of the family's 1533-position model. The record is from RNAcentral.
GACCGGCGCACGGGUGAGUAACACGUAUGCAACCUGCCUACUACAGGGGGAUAGCCCGGAGAAAUUCGGAUUAAUACCGCAUAAAACAGGGAUCCCGCAUGGGAAUAUUUGUUAAAGAUUUAUCGGUAGUAGAUGGGCAUGCGUUCCAUUAGUUUGUUGGUGAGGUAACGGCUCACCAAGACUGCGAUGGAUAGGGGAACUGAGAGGUUGAUCCCCCACACUGGAACUGAGACACGGUCCAG